This 407-nucleotide ribosomal RNA is filed under the name Arthrobacter sp. AZTITEMP24. Its description in RNAcentral is "bacterial SSU rRNA". It matches the Rfam family "Bacterial small subunit ribosomal RNA", at positions 971 to 1378 of the family's 1533-position model. The record is from RNAcentral. Lineage: Bacteria; Bacillati; Actinomycetota; Actinomycetes; Micrococcales; Micrococcaceae.
UUANNNNGCUUGACNUGAACUGGAAAUACCUGGAAACAGGUGCCCCGCUUGCGGUCGGUUUACAGGUGGUGCAUGGUUGUCGUCAGCUCGUGUCGUGAGAUGUUGGGUUAAGUCCCGCAACGAGCGCAACCCUCGUUCUAUGUUGCCAGCACGUUAUGGUGGGGACUCAUAGGAGACUGCCGGGGUCAACUCGGAGGAAGGUGAGGACGACGUCAAAUCAUCAUGCCCCUUAUGUCUUGGGCUUCACGCAUGCUACAAUGGCCGGUACAAUGGGUUGCGAUACUGUGAGGUGGAGCUAAUCCCAAAAAGCCGGUCUCAGUUCGGAUUGGGGUCUGCAACUCGACCCCAUGAAGUCGGAGUCGCUAGUAAUCGCAGAUCAGCAACGCUACGGUGAAUACGUUCCCGGG